This 1183-nucleotide ribosomal RNA is filed under the name Agrococcus sp. Its description in RNAcentral is "bacterial SSU rRNA". It matches the Rfam family "Bacterial small subunit ribosomal RNA", at positions 137 to 1333 of the family's 1533-position model. Lineage: Bacteria; Bacillati; Actinomycetota; Actinomycetes; Micrococcales; Microbacteriaceae. The record is from RNAcentral.
UCUGGGAUAAGCGCUGGAAACGGCGUCUAAUACCGGAUACGACGACCGGAGGCAUCUCCUGGUCGUGGAAAGAACUUCGGUCAAGGAUCAGCUCACGGCCUAUCAGCUUGUUGGUGAGGUAAUGGCUCACCAAGGCGACGACGGGUAGCCGGCCUGAGAGGGUGACCGGCCACACUGGGACUGAGACACGGCCCAGACUCCUACGGGAGGCAGCAGUGGGGAAUAUUGCACAAUGGGCGCAAGCCUGAUGCAGCAACGCCGCGUGAGGGACGAAUGCCUUCGGGUUGUAAACCUCUUUUAGCAGGGAAGAAGCGAGAGUGACGGUACCUGCAGAAAAAGCACCGGCUAACUACGUGCCAGCAGCCGCGGUAAUACGUAGGGUGCAAGCGUUGUCCGGAAUUAUUGGGCGUAAAGAGCUCGUAGGCGGUUUGUCACGUCUGCUGUGAAAACCCGAGGCUCAACCUCGGGCUUGCAGUGGGUACGGGCAGACUAGAGUGCGGUAGGGGAGAUUGGAAUUCCUGGUGUAGCGGUGGAAUGCGCAGAUAUCAGGAGGAACACCGAUGGCGAAGGCAGAUCUCUGGGCCGUAACUGACGCUGAGGAGCGAAAGCAUGGGGAGCAAACAGGCUUAGAUACCCUGGUAGUCCAUGCCGUAAACGUUGGGAACUAGAUGUGGGGACCAUUCCACGGUCUCCGUGUCGUAGCUAACGCAUUAAGUUCCCCGCCUGGGGAGUACGGCCGCAAGGCUANAACUCAAAGGAAUUGACNGGGGCCCGCACAAGCGGCGGAGCAUGCGGAUUAAUUCGAUGCAACGCGAAGAACCUUACCAAGGCUUGACAUAUACGAGAACGCACUGGAGACAGUGAACUCUUUGGACACUCGUAUACAGGUGGUGCAUGGUUGUCGUCAGCUCGUGUCGUGAGAUGUUGGGUUAAGUCNCGCANCGAGCGCAACCCUCGUCCUAUGUUGCCAGCACGUAAUGGUGGGAACUCAUGGGAUACUGCCGGGGUCAACUCGGAGGAAGGUGGGGAUGAGGUCAAAUCAUCAUGCCCCUUAUGUCUUGGGCUUCACGCAUGCUACAAUGGCCGGUACAAUGGGCUGCGAUACCGCAAGGUGGAGCGAAUCCCAAAAAGCCGGUCUCAGUUCGGAUUGAGGUCUGCAACUCGACCUCAUGAAGUCGGAGUC